RNAcentral lists this ribosomal RNA (281 nucleotides) under uncultured bacterium. RNAcentral's name for it is "partial 16S ribosomal RNA". It matches the Rfam family "Bacterial small subunit ribosomal RNA", at positions 32 to 309 of the family's 1533-position model. The record is from RNAcentral.
AAUCAACGCUGGCGGCGUGCCUCAGACGUGCAAGUCGAACGAUUAAAGCUCCCUUCGGGGAGUGCAUAAAGUGGCGCACGGGUGAGUAACACGUAAGUAAUCUACCCUCGGGUGGGGAAUAACGUCCGGAAACGGACGCUAAUACCGCAUAAUGCAGCGGCACCGCAAGGUGACAGUUGUAAGAUUAUUGCCUGGGAGGAGCUUGCGGCAGAUUAGCUAGUUGGUAAGGUAACGGCUUACCAAGGCUACGAUCUGUAUCCGGUCUAAGAGGACGGUCGGAC